Non-coding RNA from Heterocephalus glaber (naked mole-rat), 897 nucleotides. The record is from RefSeq and is a predicted model, not a curated record. Lineage: Eukaryota; Metazoa; Chordata; Mammalia; Rodentia; Bathyergidae.
UAUGUGUUUCUGCUGUCUUUACAAGCUUCUCCGGUUCUCCAUCACCGGGGAGAUUUUAUCUGCCUGAAUAUGUGUGAGUCAGCAAGUCCUCGGGUCCUGGUUGGAUGGCACAGUGGGUGCGCCUCACACAGCCUCAGAGCCUGCUUUGUCUCCCGUUUCCAUUUGCUCACUCCCAUGUGGACUCGGCCAGUGGCAUCCUGAGUUUCCACUAAUAACAGAGGCUGAGAAGCCGCAUAUUAGAGGCAGUGCUGGACUCUGCGAUUGCCCGGAGGUGGGCCCCGGGGACUCUGCCCCGCUGGGCCUCGUCUCCUCCUGUGCCCCCCACCCGCUGACAGGAGGGAACAGGAGACGCCCACAGGGAGGGAAGCCGAGUGAAAUGUGAAGAGGUGUCUGAAAGCCCAGAGGAAACCGGCAGGCCCUUCCAGAAGUUCUAUUUGCGGGAUUGUUUUGCCAGGCUGCUAUCGCAUACCACCUCUGUCUGCUGCCUCAAUUUGCUUGGUGAAAAUUGUCUGAAUGAUGGAGCAGGAGUUCCAGAUGACCCCCCUCACCCCCACUGGCACAAGAUCUCUAAGAGCAUUGAAAGAAAUAUGAUUUACAAGAAAAUAAAUUGGAAGUGAAGCCUAGCACUCACUUGCUUUUGACUCUGGAUAAGCUUUAUGUACCUAUGAACCUCAGCUUUCAUCUCUGUAUAGUUGGAUUAAUAAUACUGCAGUGCAUACAGUUAGGCUGAACUGUAAGUAACAGUACUGAACUCAUCAGCUUAAAGCACUCAUGUGAAAGACUCACGAGGCACCCAGCCCAGGCUAGUAAAAGAUCCAGCCAGGUUUCUGGCCCUGGCUUCUAUUCCAAAGGUCACCUCAUGAUCAAAGGUGGCUGCCAGAGCUCUUGCCAUUAUGU